UAUACUAGAUAAAAACCUUUAAGAAGUUACUUUGUUCUUAUUUUUAUUUACUAUUUAGGGCAAAACUCACAUUAACAUUACAUGUAUAAGUCACAGCUGGCUUCAUGGGUGUAUGAAAAUGUAGUUAUGUUUAGAUGCAUCCUGCACUUGGUUUAAAGCCCUUCUCUCACCAUCUUGAAUGUUUAAUAACUUUUGUAGAGUCCCACAUAUUUAUUUUGCACCUGGCCCUGAAAACUAUUCAUCACUUAUAUUAAAUGUAAGAUUUUUUCAUAUUUGUAGCCCUGGCCAGGUAGCUCAGUCAGUUAGAAUGUUACCCUAAUACACCAAGGUUACAGGUUUGAUCCCUGGUCAUGGUACAUACAAGGAUCAACUAAUGAAUCAUAAAUAAGUGAAACAACAAAUUGAUGAUUCUUCCUCUCCCCCUAAUCUCAAUUUU
Phyllostomus discolor (pale spear-nosed bat) is the source of this 436-nucleotide long non-coding RNA. RefSeq lists it as uncharacterized. The record is from RefSeq and is a predicted model, not a curated record. The transcript has 3 exons. Lineage: Eukaryota; Metazoa; Chordata; Mammalia; Chiroptera; Phyllostomidae.